Molecule: ribosomal RNA, 474 nt
Filed under: uncultured fungus
Lineage: Eukaryota; Fungi
Description: SSU rRNA
Rfam family: Eukaryotic small subunit ribosomal RNA
Source: RNAcentral
UAAGUUGUUGUGGUUAGAAAGCUCGUAGUUGAACCUUGGGCCUGGCUGGCCGGUCCGCCUCACCGCGUGUACUGGUCCGGCCGGGCCUUUCCCUCUGUGGAACCCCAUGCCCUUCACUGGGUGUGGCGGGGAAACAGGACUUUUACUUUGAAAAAAUUAGAGUGCUCCAGGCAGGCCUAUGCUCGAAUACAUUAGCAUGGAAUAAUAGAAUAGGACGUGUGGUUCUAUUUUGUUGGUUUCUAGGACCGCCGUAAUGAUUAAUAGGGACAGUCGGGGGCAUCAGUAUUCAAUUGUCAGAGGUGAAAUUCUUGGAUUUAUUGAAGACUAACUACUGCGAAAGCAUUUGCCAAGGAUGUUUUCAUUAAUCAGGAACGAAAGUUAGGGGAUCGAAGACGAUCAGAUACCGUCGUAGUCUUAACCAUAAACUAUGCCGACUAGGGAUCGGACGAUGUUAUUUUUUGACUCGUUCGGCAC